Molecule: long non-coding RNA, 1029 nt
Filed under: Canis lupus familiaris (dog)
Lineage: Eukaryota; Metazoa; Chordata; Mammalia; Carnivora; Canidae
Description: lncRNA (ENSCAFG00030007272.1)
Source: RNAcentral
AUGUAUUUAUCACAUCGCCCGUCUGUGGGCCGCGCCCGCGCGCCCCCUCCCGCGCUGCCGCCGCCGCCGCCGCCGCCGCCGCCGCCGCUCUCUUCGCCGAGCCUCGGAUACAGGCUCCCAGGCCGGGGCCGGGGUCUCCGUCCGGGCGGCGCGGCCGAGGGGAGCGGCGGGGCCGGGGCCGGGCCGGGGCGCAGCGGGGCGGGCCGCGUGCGGGGAUUAGGGCCGCACGAGAGGAGACUGCGCCGCGGCCUCCAGCCACGUGAGGACGGACGGGGCUUCAAAGGUGCCCCCCAGCUAAUCCUUGUUAUCCGGCGGCGCGCCCGAGCUCCGGCCUGCUGCUCGGGUUGGGCUCCCCCGCGCGCCCCCGGAGCCCGCCGGCCGGUGGGGCAGCCCGGGGCCAGCCGGCGGGGUUGCACGGCGGGGCGGGGCGGGGGCCUCGAGGGCCUCGAGCGCCUCGCGCCCCCGGCACCCCCCGGGCCAGGGUGCCGUGGCGGGGGAGGCGGGGGGGGGGCUCGGGCGCGCGCGGGUGGCGGCGCGCACGGGGCGCUCUCGGGAACAAGUAGCUGGAGGGCACAGCAGGCCCGGGGGCGCCCCCGCAGCCCGCGCCUCCCGGGGGCGUAUCUGAGGCCGGCGCGCGCCCGGCCCCGCGGGCCCCGCCCCGCGCCCCGCGCCCCGCGCCCCGCGCCCCGCGCCCCGCGCCCCGCGCCCCGCGCCCCGCGCCCCGCGCCCCGCGCCCCGCGCCCCGCGCCCCGCGCCCCGCCCCGCCCCGCGCCCCGCGCCCCCCGCCGCCCGAGCGGCCGCGCGGCGCAAUCUGUCAGGCCCUCGGCCCGUUUCCAUAUGAAGGGCGCGCCGGGCGCCUUGGGAGCGCUGAAAGGCCGCUCGCGGUCGGGCGGGCGCGCACGCCCCGCGGCCCCGGCUGGAUUUGGCCGCAUUUGCAUAGCAGGUGCUGAUGCUUGUCCAUUCUUACUUAAAGAAGUUUUAAUAUGGGAUAAAUUACCAGGAAUUAGGAGCAGGCGUGGGCGGGAAUAA